UACGGAGGGGGCUAGCGUUGUUCGGAAUUACUGGGCGUAAAGCGCACGUAGGCGGCUUUGUAAGUUAGAGGUGAAAGCCCAGGGCUCAACCCUGGAAUUGCCUUUAAGACUGCAUCGCUUGAACAUCGGAGAGGUAAGUGGAAUUCCGAGUGUAGAGGUGAAAUUCGUAGAUAUCGAGAGGAACACCUGCGGCGAAGGCGGGUUGCUGGGCUGACACUGACGCUGAGGCGCGAAAGCCAGGGGAGCGAACGGG
Molecule: ribosomal RNA, 253 nt
Filed under: uncultured bacterium
Lineage: Bacteria
Description: partial 16S ribosomal RNA
Rfam family: Bacterial small subunit ribosomal RNA
Source: RNAcentral